UGUGGGUUCAAUUACAUUCAAUCAACUGUAAAUUCGAAGCAAUCUUGUCAAUUUUGGGUUCACCUAGCUCUGUAUUUGCUACUUAAAUCAUAUCAAGAUAUCUCAUUUAGACUAUGAGCAAAGCUUGGUCUUACAGUGCAUCCAUCCUGCUACUUUUAUCUUCUUGUCACUUGUGUUAUUUGGGCAAGGUGGGCUACCAUUUUCUUACACAUUUUUGUAGCUUCCUUAUGGGGGCAUUGCCUGAUCAAAGCGGCCACACUUUCUUCUUGGCCUAUAUGAUUAUUACAACAAUUUAUUCUAGGCAUUUCCCUAGUGUGAUCAUCAUUGCAUGGAUUUGGAGUUGAGUAAAGGAGGCUUAUGCAUGGACUUGAAGAGGAAGAAAGUAGGGUAGCCAUCGAAAUCAUGAGCAUACACAGAUAUGACAAUUCAAGCAGAGGUGCAAACAUGAAUUACACUAGAAUUGUACAGUUAUUUUUUGGGAAGCCCAAAGAUUUCUUCCUCUAUAGAAGCUCAAUUAUGCAGAUGAUCUCAUAGCAUCUUGAGAUCUAGAUAUGUGAUAUAUUGAAAUUAAAUUAGAUAGUUAUGAACAUGACUUGCAUCAGGAAAGUUCAUGCCUCGCUCUUUGAUCUUUGACAAAGUUAGUCCCUGCUCAACUACAUUAGGUAAUGUGUUUGAGUCAUCAGCUUGAAAAAAUAAAAAAAUUGUUCUCAUUACUUUGUUCUCAUCUUACAUAUUCUGUAAAUCUUGUAGUCUAAAUUGAGGAAUUUUUAAUUGUAGCUUAAAUUUUGAGCUUCAAAUGCAUAGUGGAUUUAUUUGUUUA
This is a long non-coding RNA of Hevea brasiliensis (rubber tree), 820 nucleotides long. RefSeq lists it as uncharacterized. The record is from RefSeq and is a predicted model, not a curated record. The transcript is spliced from 2 exons. Lineage: Eukaryota; Viridiplantae; Streptophyta; Magnoliopsida; Malpighiales; Euphorbiaceae.